Molecule: unclassified non-coding RNA, 575 nt
Filed under: Penicillium italicum
Lineage: Eukaryota; Fungi; Ascomycota; Eurotiomycetes; Eurotiales; Aspergillaceae
Description: sequence contains ITS1 and 5.8S rRNA gene
Source: RNAcentral
GGUUACGGGGAUCCUACCUGAUCCGAGGUCACCUGGGAUAAAAAAUUUGGGUUGAUCGGCAAGCGCCGGCCGGGCCUACAGAGCGGGUGACAAAGCCCCAUACGCUCGAGGACCGGACGCGGUGCCGCCGCUGCCUUUCGGGCCCGUCCCCCGGAAUCGGAGGACGGGGCCCAACACACAAGCCGGGCUUGAGGGCAGCAAUGACGCUCGGACAGGCAUGCCCCCCGGAAUACCAGGGGGCGCAAUGUGCGUUCAAAGACUCGAUGAUUCACUGAAUUUGCAAUUCACAUUACGUAUCGCAUUUCGCUGCGUUCUUCAUCGAUGCCGGAACCAAGAGAUCCGUUGUUGAAAGUUUUAAAUAAUUUAUAUUUUCACUCAGACGACAAUCUUCAGGCAGAGUUCGGGGGUGUCUUCGGCGGGCGCGGGCCCGGGGGCGUGAGCCCCCCGGCGGCCAGUUAAGGCGGGCCCGCCGAAGCAACGAGGUAAAUAAACACGGGUGGGAGGUUGGACCCAAAGGGCCCUCACUCGGUAAUGAUCCUUCCGCAGCCCCCUUUUCGGAAAAGGUAAGGAGUGAA